GCAGCGUUGGUCUAAUGGUUAGGGUAUCUGCCUUCCAAGCAGAUAGUCCGGGUUCAAGUCCCGGACGGUGCA
Molecule: transfer RNA, 72 nt
Filed under: Perkinsus olseni
Lineage: Eukaryota; Perkinsozoa; Perkinsida; Perkinsidae
Description: tRNA-Gly
Rfam family: tRNA
About the family: Transfer RNA (tRNA) molecules are approximately 80 nucleotides in length.
Source: RNAcentral